This 679-nucleotide long non-coding RNA is filed under the name Cricetulus griseus (Chinese hamster). RNAcentral's name for it is "lncRNA (ENSCGRG00015034855.1)". The record is from RNAcentral. Lineage: Eukaryota; Metazoa; Chordata; Mammalia; Rodentia; Cricetidae.
GUGGGUAGGCUUGCCACCAAGCCUGAUGACUGAACUUCCUUGGAGCCCACAUGGUAGAAUGUGAGAAUUAACUCCCACAAGUUGUCAUCUGACAUCCACAUACACAUGGUGGCACACACUCAUGCACAACGCACCCACCCUCCUACACACAUGAAAGUUUUAAAAUACCCCUAGUAUCCAGCAACAGACAGCUAUGUACCAUGAAGCCAAUUAAUCAAGUAUGCAACAGAAACAAUGCCUGACCUUAAUGGCUCAGUACUCUAGGUUCCUCUUAAAAUCUUAGAUGCCUAGACAUAGUGAAAUGGGAAAGAAAUACCUUAAUAACUCCAGAAAUCAAGAAUGAUGAGAAGCUUCUCAAUUUCAGGAGGUCCCAUUUAUUAAUUUCUGAUCUCAGUGUCUGUGCUGCUGGUGUUAUCUUAGGAAGCGGUCUCCUGCACCAAUCCGUUCAAGGGUACCACCUACCUUCUCUUCUCAAUGUGGCUGGAUUUAUGUUGAGGUCUUUGAUCCAUUUGGACUUGUUUUUUGCAUGGUGAUAGAUAUGGAUCUGUCUGCAGUCUUCUACAUGCCAGCAUCCUAGACACACUGGGGAGGAUCUAGGCAUUGCUCCAAAUGAUAUGACAGACUUUGAAGAUAUCCCAUGGAAGGCCUCACCCUCCCAGGAGAGCAGAAACGGGUUGGG